GCCUACGGGGGGGCAGCAGUGAGGAAUAUUGGUCAAUGGGCGGGAGCCUGAACCAGCCAAGUCGCGUGAGGGAAGACGGUCCUAUGGAUUGUAAACCUCUUUAGGCGGGGAGCAAUGCCGGGCACGCGUGCCCGGAGGGAGAGUACCCGCAGAAAAAGCAUCGGCUAACCCCGUGCCAGCAGCCGCGGUAAUACGGAGGAUGCGAGCGUUAUCCGGAUUUAUUGGGUUUAAAGGGUGCGUAGGCGGGCUUUUAAGUCAGCGGUAAAAAUUCGGG
Molecule: ribosomal RNA, 274 nt
Filed under: uncultured bacterium
Lineage: Bacteria
Description: partial 16S ribosomal RNA
Rfam family: Bacterial small subunit ribosomal RNA
Source: RNAcentral